CCUACGGGAGGCAGCAGUAGGGAAUGUUGCGCAAUGGGCGAAAGCCUGACGCAGCAACGCCGCGUGAUAGAGACGCACUUCGGGGUGUAAAGAUCUGUCAGUGGGGACGAAACUUGACGGUACCCACAGAGGAAGCACCGGCUAACUCCGUGCCAGCAGCCGCGGUAAUACGGGGGGUGCAAGCGUUGUCCGGAAUCAUUGGGCGGAAAGAGUUCGUAGGCGGCACGUAAAGUCUGGUGGUAAAGGCAGAGGCUCAACUUCUGUACGGCUCUGGAUACUUGCGAGCUAGAGUGCGGUAGAGGUAAAGGGAAUUCCUGGUGUAGCGGUGAAAUGCUUAGAUAUCAGGAGGAACAUCGGUGGCGUAGGCGCUUUACUGGGCCGUAAUUGACGCUGAGGAACGAAAGCCAGGGUAGCAAAUGGGAUUAGAUACCCUUGUAGUC
Molecule: ribosomal RNA, 440 nt
Filed under: uncultured bacterium
Lineage: Bacteria
Description: partial 16S ribosomal RNA
Rfam family: Bacterial small subunit ribosomal RNA
Source: RNAcentral